GUUCCCCAGGGCAACGGCCACAGAGGGACGUUACAUGGACCCACCCCCUUCCCCAAGCAAGGACCCCAGUGAAUAACCCUCCAUUACAGAGGGUACAUCAGUCCUACCGUGAUCUUGCAGAACCAGGUGUGUUGGGACAUCUGCAACAUCUGCGCACCAGGGGACCCCAGUAACAGAAUGGAAAAAACACUGAAGAACAAGUCCUCAUCUGCAGCUGUUUUACUGCAAAGCUCCAGAAAUCUUUUGUGGACUGCAAGACCUUCACCUAACAAUCCAAACAACACGGGGUUUCUCCAACCACUGGAUGGUGACCACUGGAUGGUGAUGGGCAUUAGCAUUGCAGGAGGUGUGCUUAUUUUUAUACACAUUCCUACAAGCACACGUUGGUAAAUUCAACACCCGAGUGAUCGUAUACACACACAAUGUUACACACAUUUCUGUUGAUAAAUGAGGGCCCUGGAGAAAAAACUCAUUGUCAAAAAUCCCAACUCAGUUCCUGGUAUUCACCUUCUAAUAGCAACAGCAGUAGUAGUCAGAAAUAGUUGUCCUGAAAUGCCUACUGUGACUAAAACUGAGUCAUAUUCAGUGUGCGGUGCUCUGUGGGACUGAAAGUGUUUCUUUGGUAAAACAGGAAGGAUAAAUGACUCGAUGUGUGCCGCGACACUAAACAACACUACAGGAAGGAAGGAAUAAAAAUCUUUUUUAUCCACUUAUUUUUACUUUAAUUAUCAAACAAUAUUAUUAACUGAUGUGUUUCAUCUUAUUUUUGACUCUCCUUUUAGUACAUAUUGUCAGCUUCAUCAUGCUCGCUCUAACAUGCAGCAGAUAGAAAGUGUGACACAGCACCACGUCCAGCACCAUCGUCACUGUUAAAGACUGAAAAUCAUUUCCCCAGUGACGCGAGUCCAGGUGAAAUUUUUUAAAAAGCCAUUACUUCUCUCUUGACAAUUGAUGCCGCGCAGCCACGGGAGAAUAAUGAUCAGCUGACGGACAGGCUGACAGGUUUACCCUUGUAGGCCCCUGCAGCAGUCUCAAUCCUCCAC
This is a long non-coding RNA of Acanthopagrus latus (yellowfin seabream), 1043 nucleotides long. RefSeq lists it as uncharacterized. The record is from RefSeq and is a predicted model, not a curated record. The transcript is spliced from 3 exons. NCBI's taxonomy places the organism in Eukaryota, Metazoa, Chordata, Actinopteri, Spariformes, Sparidae.